This is a long non-coding RNA of Leptinotarsa decemlineata (Colorado potato beetle), 416 nucleotides long. NCBI's taxonomy places the organism in Eukaryota, Metazoa, Arthropoda, Insecta, Coleoptera, Chrysomelidae. The record is from RefSeq and is a predicted model, not a curated record.
UCAAACGUCAACUGAUUUGAAAUGUUAAUAUGAGAGUGGAGACUAUGUGCGGAAGCUACUAAAUAUAUCCGACGCUGGGGUGCCAAUUUCGAAAAGUUAUAUGGAAUUUUCUACGGCUGGGGUAUGUCACACCCCACGUGUCGGACGCAGGGUUAAUGAGAUAUAUAAUGGGAUGACUUGUGCUGGUGCCUCUACCGUAAACAAAAUGGCACAGAUACGCAAGUUUGUUGAGUGAAAGGAGAAGGGGAGAAAUAGAAUCAAGCAGUGUUACCUAGAAAAAUUUGUUUUGAAGUUGGCUAUGUUGAAGUAUAUAUGCUUUUGAGCCUGAUUUAAAUUAACUGAGAUUUAUACAUUCUUUCAGUUCGUUUUGGAGGCUGUUGUAUAUUUUUGAGCCAAAAUAAAGGAUAUUUCUUUGA